Molecule: non-coding RNA, 146 nt
Filed under: Nomascus leucogenys (northern white-cheeked gibbon)
Lineage: Eukaryota; Metazoa; Chordata; Mammalia; Primates; Hylobatidae
Source: Rfam by way of RNAcentral
GCCGGGCAUGGUGGCGCACGCCUGUAAUCCCAGCUACUGAGGAGGCUGAGGCGGGAGAAUCGCUUGGACCAGGGAGGCUUAGGUUGCAGUGAGCCGGGAUCACGCCACUGCACUCCAGCCUGGGUGACAGCGAGACUCCGUCUCAA